RNAcentral lists this ribosomal RNA (427 nucleotides) under uncultured Conexibacter sp. RNAcentral's name for it is "bacterial SSU rRNA". It matches the Rfam family "Bacterial small subunit ribosomal RNA", at positions 355 to 774 of the family's 1533-position model. The record is from RNAcentral. Lineage: Bacteria; Bacillati; Actinomycetota; Thermoleophilia; Solirubrobacterales; Conexibacteraceae.
UGGGGAAUCUUGCACAAUGCGCGAAAGCGUGAUGCAGCAACGCCGCGUGCGGGAAGACGGCCUUCGGGUUGUAAACCGCUUUCAGUUGGGACGAAGCUUCGCCGGUGAAUAGCCGGCUGGAGUGACGGUACCUUCAGAAGAAGCCCCGGCUAACUACGUGCCAGCAGCCGCGGUAAUACGUAGGGGGCAAGCGUUGUCCGGAAUCAUUGGGCGUAAAGCGCGUGUAGGCGGCUAGGUAAGUCUGCUCUGAAAGCCCGGGGCUCAACCCCGGGAGGCGGGUGGAUACUGUCAAGCUCGAGUCCGGAAGAGGAGUGUGGAAUUCCUGGUGUAGCGGUGAAAUGCGCAGAUAUCAGGAGGAACACCAAUGGCGAAGGCAGCACUCUGGGACGUGACUGACGCUGAGACGCGAAAGCGUGGGGAGCAAACA